UACAGAGGGGGCAAGCGUUGUUCGGAAUUACUGGGCGUAAAGGGCGCGUAGGCGGCCCGUUAAGUCGAACGUGAAAUCCCCAGGCUUAACCUGGGAACUGCGUCUGAUACUGGAUGGCUUGAAUUCGGGAGAGGGAUGCAGAAUUCCAGGUGUAGCGGUGAAAUGCGUAGAUAUCUGGAGGAAUACCGGUGGCGAAGGCGGCAUCCUGGACCGAGAUUGACACUGAUGAGCGAAAGCCAGGGGAGCAAACGGG
This 253-nucleotide ribosomal RNA is filed under the name uncultured bacterium. RNAcentral describes it as "partial 16S ribosomal RNA". It matches the Rfam family "Bacterial small subunit ribosomal RNA", at positions 524 to 776 of the family's 1533-position model. The record is from RNAcentral.